Molecule: transfer RNA, 76 nt
Filed under: Planctomycetaceae bacterium
Lineage: Bacteria; Pseudomonadati; Planctomycetota; Planctomycetia; Planctomycetales; Planctomycetaceae
Also listed under: 1 other name
Description: tRNA-Val
Rfam family: tRNA
About the family: Transfer RNA (tRNA) molecules are approximately 80 nucleotides in length. Their secondary structure includes four short double-helical elements and three loops (D, anti-codon, and T loops).
Source: RNAcentral
GGGCCGUUAGCUCAAUUGGUAGAGCAUCUGCUUUACACGCAGAGGGUCAGGGGUUCGAGUCCCUUACGGCCCACCA